RNAcentral lists this ribosomal RNA (678 nucleotides) under uncultured bacterium. Its description in RNAcentral is "bacterial SSU rRNA". It matches the Rfam family "Bacterial small subunit ribosomal RNA", at positions 186 to 882 of the family's 1533-position model. The record is from RNAcentral.
CCGCAUGAUCGAAAUACCAAAGAUUUAUCGCUGAAGGAUGAAUUCGCGUCUGAUUAGGUAGUUGGUGGGGUAACGGCCUACCAAGCCGACGAUCAGUAGCCGGACUGAGAGGUUGAUCGGCCACAUUGGGACUGAGACACGGCCCAGACUCCUACGGGAGGCAGCAGUGGGGAAUAUUGCACAAUGGGCGCAAGCCUGAUGCAGCAACGCCGCGUGAAGGAAGACGGUUUUCGGAUUGUAAACUUCUGUUCUUAGUGAAGAAUAAUGACGGUAGCUAAGGAGCAAGCCACGGCUAACUACGUGCCAGCAGCCGCGGUAAUACGUAGGUGGCAAGCGUUGUCCGGAAUUACUGGGUGUAAAGGGAGCGCAGGCGGGUGAUCAAGUCAGCUGUGAAAACUACGGGCUUAACCCGUAGACUGCAGUUGAAACUGUUCAUCUUGAGUGAAGUAGAGGUUGGCGGAAUUCCGAGUGUAGCGGUGAAAUGCGUAGAUAUUCGGAGGAACACCGGUGGCGAAGGCGGCCAACUGGGCUUUAACUGACGCUGAGGCUCGAAAGUGUGGGGAGCAAACAGGAUUAGAUACCCUGGUAGUCCACACUGUAAACGAUGAUUGCUAGGUGUGGGGGGUCUGACCCCUUCCGUGCCGGAGCUAACGCAAUAAGCAAUCCACCUGGGGAGUA